AUGCAGGUUCUAUUUUAUUGUUCCGAGACAUAUGAUGAUAGCAUUGAGAAUGAGAAAUCUUUGCAAAAUGCACGUAUUAUUAAGGAGUUCUGGAACGAUUACUACGCUAAGCUGUUGGAUAUUGACAAAACGAAAAAGACUUCUAAUGUUGAUAUGUAUCAGGAUGAUGUUAGAAAGUUGUUAAUUAAUGAAAAGAAGAAUCAAAAUGGUGUGUUUUCCGAUACUGAAUUAAUAGAUUUACAGAAUCAAAUUGCAAAUUGCACAAUGAAGUUCGAUGAGGAUAAUCUAUUUAAAGUAACUCCUAACAUAGUAAAGUUCUUGAUUAAUAAAGAUCAGCCUAACGAAGCAAUAUCUAAAGGGUUGCCUACCAAGUAG
RNAcentral lists this ribosomal RNA (375 nucleotides) under Triticum aestivum (bread wheat). RNAcentral describes it as "partial small subunit ribosomal RNA". Lineage: Eukaryota; Viridiplantae; Streptophyta; Magnoliopsida; Poales; Poaceae. The record is from RNAcentral.